Molecule: ribosomal RNA, 539 nt
Filed under: Bacillus subtilis
Lineage: Bacteria; Bacillati; Bacillota; Bacilli; Caryophanales; Bacillaceae
Description: bacterial SSU rRNA
Rfam family: Bacterial small subunit ribosomal RNA
Source: RNAcentral
UGGCGGCGUGCCUAAUACAUGCAAGUCGAGCGGACAGAUGGGAGCUUGCUCCCUGAUGUUAGCGGCGGACGGGUGAGUAACACGUGGGUAACCUGCCUGUAAGACUGGGAUAACUCCGGGAAACCGGGGCUAAUACCGGAUGGUUGUUUGAACCGCAUGGUUCAAACAUAAAAGGUGGCUUCGGCUACCACUUACAGAUGGACCCGCGGCGCAUUAGCUAGUUGGUGAGGUAACGGCUCACCAAGGCAACGAUGCGUAGCCGACCUGAGAGGGUGAUCGGCCACACUGGGACUGAGACACGGCCCAGACUCCUACGGGAGGCAGCAGUAGGGAAUCUUCCGCAAUGGACGAAAGUCUGACGGAGCAACGCCGCGUGAGUGAUGAAGGUUUUCGGAUCGUAAAGCUCUGUUGUUAGGGAAGAACAAGUACCGUUCGAAUAGGGCGGUACCUUGACGGUACCUAACCAGAAAGCCACGGCUAACUACGUGCCAGCAGCCCGGUAAAAUAAACUUCGGUCUGCCGGGGGUCCUCCGGGCUGG